UGUCUAUGGGUCUGGGCUGAAACUUUAUAAACUUAAUAGCAAGUUGCUGACCAGCUGAACUUGCUAUUUUAUUCAUCUAAUCACGGUGCUGUCAUUCAAGAGGGUUACAGAACUUCAAUGAUGCAUAGGUUCUACUUCAAAGAUCUCUUACAUUUUUUACAUCUUGAGUAGUAGUAGUUUGUAAUAUCUUGAGCCGUAAUUUCGAGUGGCUGUACUCAAAGCAGCUGCCCUUCUCGUCUAUAAAAGUAGAAAGGACUUCUUAGCCGGUCCACAACGAACUUGCUUUCAGAGUAUCCAUGGAUUUAGGAUAGCUAACAUCUUUGUGC
Long non-coding RNA from Macrobrachium nipponense, 326 nucleotides. RefSeq lists it as uncharacterized. The transcript has 2 exons. The record is from RefSeq and is a predicted model, not a curated record. Lineage: Eukaryota; Metazoa; Arthropoda; Malacostraca; Decapoda; Palaemonidae.